GUUUCAUGACUAUUCUGAAAAUUAAAAAUAGAAGGCAGGGAGAAGAGAGUGAGCAAAUGGUCUCUGCCACCAAAUAAUAUUGUGCUUUCUUGCAGCUAGACCUAACCUUUCAGGAUUUGCUUUUCAAGCUCUUUAUUGAAAUUGCUCGGGUCUUUAACCGAUCUCCCCUGGGGGCUGAAAAGCCUUAAGCUAAUUAAGCACGGCUGAGACAUGCUUGAUGAGAUGGGAAAAAACAUGAAGCUUUUGAAAGGGUGAAAAAUCUCUGGCCAUCUGCUAGUGGUGUUGCAAAGAGAACAAUGAGGAAGAAUAAAGGGGGCAGCUAGCCGGAGUGAAAAGAGGCCCUGCAGACGGAGCUCUGUUUGAAUGAAUACCACACAGCCAGCCAGAGAGGAGCUUCUGUUGUACUUGGCAGUCCAUGUAACACCAACAGACCCCCAGUCACUGGAGCUCUGGGAAUCUGGCUGAGUUGUCAUUUCAUCAAUUGUGGAAACAUCCUGUGGUCCUGUUAACAUCAAAGAUUGGAAAUAACAUCAAUGGGAUACUUAUGUGAAUACAGAAGAUAGAACACUAAAACUGGGUACAAAACCAAUAUACAGCAUAUUUCUCUGAAGCCAGCUUGCUUGCUUGCUUUCUAAUUAGCAAUUAUAACAUUGGGGUCACUUUAUAAAAGUUAAAAGCAAAUAGCUUUCAAAUGUAUUAAAGUCCUCCCCAGUAUUAGUAUUUAGUAUGAAGUAGUAGUCAAAAUAGACCACACUUAAUGGAAACUCUGGACUACUGUGUUCUAUUUUUUGUGAGCAUACUGAUUUUGAUGGUUCAACCAUGAUGAAUUGUCUAUCAUUUGGGAGCUCUGAAGCUUUCUCUGACAAAGAUUUUUGGCUGUCACCAGAGUAUGAACUAGCAGCUGUUCCAAACCACCUGUACUUGACACUCAAGUUACAUAUAGCAAUGAAAGCAAUAUAGCAGGCUUCUGGUAACAAAAACAUAAUGCUCUGAGGUGACCCAGAAUCAACAUGGCUAAAAUAAAUGAUUUGGAGGCCUGUUUCUUUUUCAGUAACACUAGAGACUACAGUAUCAAGACUGACUGGCAUACAACAUCUACUAGUUAUAUAAUAGACAUUUUUCUGAGGCAACAAAGGUCACAAGUGAAAAAGUUGAAUGCUAUAAUUAAAACAACUUAGAUUCCCAAUUGAUUCACUAUUUGCAUCUUAAAGAAUUUCAAAAGAUAACUUUACCUUCAUCUUGAUCUUCUUCACACAUUGCAUGAUGUGCUGGGGCAUUCUCUUGUGUGGCUUUGGAAUCCUUUGAGGAAUCUGAUAAAAACAACAAACAAAAUAACCUUGU
This is a long non-coding RNA of Mauremys mutica (yellowpond turtle), 1341 nucleotides long. RefSeq lists it as uncharacterized. The record is from RefSeq and is a predicted model, not a curated record. Lineage: Eukaryota; Metazoa; Chordata; Testudines; Geoemydidae. The transcript has 3 exons.